AACCAGACUCCUACGGGAGGCAGCAGUGGGGAAUAUUGCACAAUGGGGGAAACCCUGAUGCAGCGACGCCGCGUGAGCGAUGAAGUAUUUCGGUAUGUAAAGCUCUGUCAGCAGGGAAGAAAAUGACGGUACCUGACUAAGAAGCCCCGGCUAACUACGUGCCAGCAGCCGCGGUAAUACGUAGGGGGCAAGCGUUAUCCGGAUUUACUGGGUGUAAAGGGGGCGCAGACGGCAGCGCAAGCCAGGAGUGAAAGCCCGGGGCCCAACCCCGGGACUGCUCUUGGAACUGCGCGGCUGGAGUGCAGGAGGGGCAGGCGGAAUUCCUAGUGUAGCGGUGAAAUGCGUAGAUAUUAGGAGGAACACCGGCGGCGAAGGCGGCCUGCUGGACCGUAACUGACGUUGAGGCUCGAAAGCGUGGGGAGCAAACAGGAUUAGAUACCCUGGUAU
RNAcentral lists this ribosomal RNA (447 nucleotides) under uncultured bacterium. RNAcentral's name for it is "partial 16S ribosomal RNA". It matches the Rfam family "Bacterial small subunit ribosomal RNA", at positions 329 to 793 of the family's 1533-position model. The record is from RNAcentral.